Long non-coding RNA from Oncorhynchus nerka (sockeye salmon), 2469 nucleotides. RefSeq lists it as uncharacterized. The record is from RefSeq and is a predicted model, not a curated record. NCBI's taxonomy places the organism in Eukaryota, Metazoa, Chordata, Actinopteri, Salmoniformes, Salmonidae. The transcript is spliced from 2 exons.
GCAGUUUUCUUUUCACAACUGUCUUUCUGUGUGAUGAGAUUAAUAAUUUACUGGUGCACCCAGUGGUGUAUUUGGGGCUAUACGCAGGUACAGUGCCUUUGGAAAGUGUUCAGAAUCCUUUACUUUUUCCACAUUUUGUCACUCUACAGCAGUGGUCACCAAACUACGGCCCGCGGGCCGGAUACGGCCCGUCAGCACAUUUGGCCCGGCCCUCUGAACAAUACCAGAGACGCUAUCGAAUUUUUUUCCUAUUUGGCCUCCAGAAAAAAAAUUCUAGGCCCGGCCCUGUCAAAGAGAGAACGGAAUAAUGGCGAAAAGGUUAGGUAAGAGAAAAAUUGAUUUUUUGUUCAAUGCAAAGAAAAGGCUGUUUGUCUCAUCUGUCAAGACGCGGUAUUCAAAGAAUACAAUCUUCGCCGACACUAUGAAUCCCGUCACAAAGACAAGUACGAUAGCUUGCAAGGCCAAAUACGAGCAGACAAACUCUCAAAGCUAAAAAGUGGACUACUAUCUCAGCAGAAUACAUUUGUACACCAAGCUCAGCUGAACCAGGCAUCCGUUCGGGCCAGCUUUCGGGUUGCUAAACUGAUAGCAAGAAGCGGUAAGCCUUUCACUGACGGAGAGUUUGUUAAGAAAUGUAUGGAUGCUGUCGCGGAGGAGGUGUGUCAUUUAAUGCCGUAAGUCUGUCGGCGAGUACAAUCACCAGACGCGUUGAAGAAAUCGGGAGUAAUGUAUAUGCCCAGCUGCAGCAGAAGACGAAAGAAUUUGACUUUUUUUCAUUAGCACUGGAUGAGAGCACGGACGUGCAAGACACAGCGCAACUGCUCAUUUUUAUUCGUGGAGUUAGCGCAAACUUUGAGAUAUGCGAGGAGCUGGCAGCCCUCCAAAGUCUCAAAGGGACUACAACGGGAGAGGAUAUUUUUGACAAAGUGUGCCAAACCAUGGAGAAGUUGGACCUGGACUGGUCAAAGCUAGCUAGCAUCACGACUGACGGGGCUCCUAGCAUGGUGGGCGAAACUCGCGGUCUAAUAGGACGCAUGAACCGGGAGUUGGAAAAAAGGGGUCUCACCGCCCCGCUACGAGUCCACUGCCUAAUUCACCAGCAAGCACUGUGCUGCAAAGUGUUGAAGUGGGAUUCUGUAAUGAAGGUUGUGGUGUCGUGCAUAAACUUCAUCAGAGCAAAGGGACUUAAACACAGGCAGUUCCAAGAAUUCCUGUCUGAACUGGAGUCUACGCACGGAGAUGUGCUGUACUACACAGAGGUCCGAUGGCUGAGCCGGGGCAGAGUUUUGAGGCGUUUUUACGAGCUGCUACCCGAAAUUAACGCAUUUCUUCAUUUAAAAGACAAAACGGUCCCAGAGCUGAUCGACCCAGAAUGGAAAUGGCACCUCGCAUUUUUAACAGACGUGACAGAAAUACUUAACAGCCUUAACUUGCAGCUACAAGGCGAGGGAAACUCAUUUGCGACAUGUAUUCACACAUAAAAGCAUUUGAGGUGAAAUUAGCGCUGCUUUUGGAACAAGUGAAAAAGCGCAACUUUGUCCAUCUUCCUGCUACCCAAAACCUGUCGACAGAGAACCCAGCGGUCCCGUUCCCAGCUGAAAAGUGCAUGGAAGCACUGGAAAUGCUGAAGGCGGAGUUCGGUGUGCGAUUCAGUGAACUACAUGUUCAUGCAAAAGAAAUCCGUCUUUUCAGAACCCCUUUGUUGCCGACAUUGAUGAAGCCCAGCCUUCAUAUCAGUUUGAGUUGGCUGAGUUACAGAACUGUGAUGUUCUGAAAGACGCAUUCAAGCCCAACAGUCUCAUUGACUUCUAUGCCGCCCUCCCAAACGACACAUAUCCAAACAUCAAAAACACGCAAUGAAAAUGUCCACAGUUUUUGGCAGCACGUAUAUCUGCGAAAAACCUUUUCUCGCAUGAAACUGCUGAAAACCCCGAUGAGAUCAAGAUUGACAGAUGAACAUUUGCAUCAGUGCUUGAGACUGGCUGUAACUAGAAUGGAACCUGAUAUUCAACUUCUCACCAGCCAGAUGCAGGCCCACAGUUCACACUGAUGAACAUACAUAGGGAAGUUGAUGAGAGAGAGCUGCAAACAGCGGUGUCUACAAGCCUACUGGAACCUACAAAAGGAUUAUAAGGAAGGAACACAAUAACUUUAAGAGACUGCUCAUAUGUGUCAGAGAGAUUCUGCUCUGACAACUGAGCUGAACUUUUAUCUGUUAAGAUUGUGCAUGGCACGACAGAAAGUUAAUGUUCCAUGGCUUUUUUUUCUAUGAAGAACCCAGAGAGAGUUAUUUAGUUAUUAUUUAUUUCCUGUUUUUUCUGUGAAGAACUCAGAGAGGGUUAUUUAGUUAUUAUUUAUUUCAUUAAUAGUGUUAUUAUUUGUUUCCUGACUUUUUUUCUGUAAAGAACCUGGAAAGGGUUAUUUGGUUAUGUGUGGCUUUCUGGAAAACAAUAAAUUUUUUAAGCUCCC